GCAGUCACGAACUCGCCAGCAGCUAGCAGCACUGACUAGUAGGAGGGCCCGCCGGAGGAGAGGAAGCCCCAGAGAGAUUGGUGAGGGUGAUUUCCCAGGAAGACGCAGUGUGCUCUGACUUCUGUGACAGUGAGCAACGGGACCAGUGGAUGUCCAGAUGCUGGCAAUGAGACAUGCUCUGGAGUCAGAAGACAGCGAAAAGAGAAGCAGAAGCCCCGGUGGCAAGAGUCUGAAGCAGGAAGGAUGACUGUAGCCUGUGGAUUGUACUGCAGUAGGAAACUGUCCUAGCAAGGCUCCACUUUGCCCCAGCUUCAAGCUGGAAAGGAGGAGAACAUGAAACAUUGCUUGAAGACAAUGGCCGAGACAGCAGGUCCCACCCUGCACAGCCACCAGCAUCUCUCCCCUCAGCCCUGUCUCCUCUUCUGCAGUUGGGAUCUGCACAUUUAAGCCUGAAAUUGUCCUGUGAAGUGAAGUAUGAUCGGACAGCCUCUUUUCAGCUUUUAUGACAAUGGAGACAGAGGAAUUGUGGCUCUUGCCAAGGUCACAGGAUUGGAAUACAGAGCCAAGCCACCCCAGGACAUGCAAGAGCCUCAGAAGGGAAAAAAGCCCAGCAGGAAGGGAGAACAAGUAGCCUCUGUCCUGAAGUUGUAACAGCCAGGGGCCAGGAUGGAGGAGGAGGACCCCAUAAUCUGCCCAUCUGGGACUUGGCAGGGGACCUGGGAAAAUGUACCCCAACCCAUCCCUUAAGGGCCUUUGUCUUUGGCCCAUUGGCCUAGCAUCUACUUCUUCACCGUGUCUGUUCUUGUCACACCUAGUCAGGUCUGUUUGGGUCUGAGGUGCAUGGAACAUUCUGGGUAGGCCUCCAGCAAACGGAAGCUCUUCACCGUGUUUCCAGCCUGGGACCAAGGGCAGCAUACUGGCAAAGUUGCCAAAGCAAGGGACUCCAGCCUCUUAGGAGUUAAUGACUCCCUCUCCCCAGCUGUCCUCCCCUUGGUGCUCCUCUUCCUCCCUCCUCCUGCUCACAGCAGGCAGGGCCUAGACCCGGGAGCCAUGCUGCUGUGCUGUUGCCAGGGGAGCACGGAGGCAGAUCUGAGCUAUGCAGGGAAAAGGCCCAGCCUGUCAAAGUGUCUGAGAUGAACCGCCGCCGUCCCUGUGCAGCUGGGCUCAGACGUGUCUCAGCUCUUGUUCUGUGCCUGAGAAUGGCGAAACCCAGUGAGGUUCAAGGGCAAACUCGCUAUUCAUUAGUCAGGGGUUCUUGACGUCCCGUCUCUCCCAGGGAUGAGUUCCCCCCUCCUCUUUCUCCCCCUCCUAUGACACAUUCCUGGGUGCCUUUGGUGAGGACUGCACACCCUCCUCCUGCCUAGCCCCCUCUCCAAAGGCCCCUGAAUAAACUCCCCCCAAGGAGACCAGGCAGGGCAGAGACAAUGGCUGCAGGAAAUCAUUCAGGCGGGACAUGCUGGCCUGCCCUCCACCCAGUCCCCCUGUGGGCCCCACUCCCUUCUGAUUCAGGGCACCCUUGGGCCCCCAGCCUAUACAGGCCUGGACAGGAAGAAACCACUGGGAACCACCCUAAGGACAACAUGCUAGUCCAGUGCCAUUCUUCGCUGGCUCUGUGGGUGCCUUUGUGGCCUGUACCGACUGGCUGGCUAAUUUUGUGGUUUCUGUACCAUCACAUGCCUAUUUUAAGACACUCUCCAGCACUGUCGGUUAGGGAGUGUAAAUUUUGCAAUAUUUUCUGAAAUGUGGCAAUAUCAAAAUGUAAAAGGCACACAUACUUGGUCACAAACAAAUGGCACUAUUUACUCUGUGGGCAUAUUUGUAAAAGUUGCCAAAGAAUUAUAUACAAGGAUGUUCAUCAGAGCAUUUCUUUUGAAGAGUAAAGAAAUGGACAUGAACCUGUGGUCCGUUCAUACGGUGGAAUACCUAUGCAGCUGUAAAAAUCAGUGUGGUAGAUCUCCGUAUAUGAGUUGAUGUGGAAGGUUGGCCAGUUCACAUGAUAAGGUGAAUAGAAUAAGUUACAGAACAGGCUGUAGAGUAUGAUCUUAUUUGUAGAUGUUUAAAACUGAGUCAUAAGUAUGCUUAUAUACAGAUCGUUUCUGGAAGUAUGUACUGGAAGUCUACCUCUGGGGAGUGGGGAUGGGGGAGUGCACUCUUCUAUACUGUUAUAUUUUCUUUUCAUGCUCCUAAGGUACUUUUAUUGGAAGAUGUAAAGCGGUUCAAUGUAAUAGGCUUAACUUCUGUCAACUAAGUUGGCGUGGGUGCUUUAAGAGGGUGGUAGUGAUGUUGCUGGAGAAAGUAUCCCACAGUCACUGGUGGCUUCAGCCACGGGCCAUUUUGGGGCCUAAUAAUCACAUAUCAUCAUGGUUGCUAGUGUUAAUCGAAAACCUACUAAGUGCCAGGCUUACUGUCUCUGGGUCUUGCUUACGUGGAUGUCAUUUUUCCAGUUGCACCAAAUCGAAAGAGGUUAAUUGGUUUGUUGGAGUUCCUUUGUAGGUGAAGGGCAGAGCCAGGAGCUUGGCUAGGGACAGGGGAGGUGAGUGGGGGAUGGUGGAUAGGUCUUGGCUCCCAGUUUCCUUCUGGGCAGACAUUGCCCCUCUGCCCUGAGGACCUGCUUGUUUGGGGGAAGAGGCCUUUAGAGGCACCAGGGUCAUGCCAGGUGUUGGACAUGGUGAACUGGGAAGUGCUCCCAUCUGGCCACAGCGCAGAAGUAUCACCGUGCUGGGGGAUGGGGAACAGGGCUGUGAAUGGGCCUAUUUGCAUAAGCAGCAUGUGUCUGGAGAGAAAGACAUCACAGAGCAGAAGAGUGCGGGUGCCCAGGAGUGCACUUGCCACCCCUACUUCAUCCCUGAAAGAGUAAAUGGCCUGGAAGGUGUCUCUGAGAGGUAAUGCCGCACACCACCCUCCCUGGGGGCAGGGUCAGGCUACACCUGCCUUAGGUCGGGGGCUGCAGCAGCCUGAGAGCUCUCAGUAGGGCCUCAGUAGCCUGGGAGGGAGCAGGGGCAGGGGGCAGGGAAAGAGGCGUAAUGGGGCUGUCCAGAGGGGCCUGGGAAACCUGGUCCCUGAGGCCUGGGCACAGCUACAAUCACUUCAAAUUGGCUGUGGGGCCAGUGGACUGGGAAGGAAAAAAGCAAUAAGAGUGACCAAGUGCAGAAGGCUGUCAGGUCCCAGGUCACAUGCCUUAGUGCAGUGACUCCUCAUCAUUUUAUGGGGUGUGGGUGUCGUUGGUACACCCAUUUUACAGAUGAGGACACCGAGGCCCAGAAAAGUUAAGUUACAUGUCCUAAGUCACACAGCUUGUAAGUGCCAGAACUGAGAUCAAAACCAAGUCUCUUUGACUUUAAAGUCUGUACUCUGACCCCAAAGAGAUCCUGUUUGGCCACUUAUAGGAGGUCCCUAAAGCUGCAGACUCCCCUUGCCGGCACCCACAUAUAGAGACAUUAACCCUUCCCCUGCAGGGUCACCUCAAAUAGUCUUUUAGCUGGGCUUCUCCUGCAAUUCCACCUAAUGCCAUCCCCUGGGUUUUGCCCAAACCUGAACUGGGCAGUGGGGUGAGAGGAGGGGUUUACAGGGUUACAGAGCCUCAUACAGAUAGGAGCCCAUGGCUGCUGGUCAUCUGCAUUCCUGCAGGAUUGGCUGUUCCUUGGGGUCCUUGGCAGGAAAAUGAGGAUUGCUCCGAGGCCUGCUCCAGUACUUCCCAGAGGCUGGCCUGGUGUGGGGCUCUGGGAAGGCUGAGGCUGGAGAAGCGUAAGUAGGAGGGCAGAGAUGGCACUCAGGUAGCUUGAAUCACCAGGACCCUUCCAAGCCCCACAGGUUCUGAGGGAGUACUAGGGCCAGCUCUGGGAGAGGUCUCUUCCUAUGCUGUGAACCCCCUGCCUUUCUUGCAGCCUACAACGAAUAAAUUUUCUUUGCAAAGG
This 3914-nucleotide long non-coding RNA is filed under the name Homo sapiens (human). Its description in RNAcentral is "lnc-FANCI-2 transcript variant g-PA2". Lineage: Eukaryota; Metazoa; Chordata; Mammalia; Primates; Hominidae. The record is from RNAcentral.